Non-coding RNA from Pelobates cultripes (western spadefoot toad), 485 nucleotides. The record is from the annotation of a GenBank genome assembly. Lineage: Eukaryota; Metazoa; Chordata; Amphibia; Anura; Pelobatidae.
GCACAGUGCCGCCUUCGUGUACGGGGCAAUGAGUUUCACGGACAAGGUAGCCAAUGGAUUGGCAGUGGUGAUCAUCCAGUCAAUGCAUCCUUGCCAGUAAGUAUUCACAAGGCUUUCGAGUAAACGAGAUGACAAAAAUAAUGGUAGAAAAUCUUUGCUCAAUAUGUGCUUAUGGAUUUUAUUCACUAAAUUAGGAAUUGUGGAAAACUGCCAAAUUUUGCAAUUGUGCAAUUUUUAAACUAAUUUAUUGAUUGUACAAUCUGAGUCUCCGGGAAAACUGGGGGGUCACAGAAAGGAUCUGCUUUUCACCAUACAUUUUUAUAACCGUAAUCUUUGUUUCUCUUACCCAGCACUGAACAAUGUUGCCCAGCUUGUAAUCCUUUCUACCACUGGGUGAUGGUGGCUGUUACUGGAGGGGUAGCGAUUGUGGCCGGCCUGGCUCUGAGUUCCAUUAUGAUCUGGCCUAUCAAAGUUCGGUUCUGUAA